Arachis ipaensis is the source of this 3199-nucleotide long non-coding RNA. RefSeq lists it as uncharacterized. Lineage: Eukaryota; Viridiplantae; Streptophyta; Magnoliopsida; Fabales; Fabaceae. The record is from RefSeq and is a predicted model, not a curated record.
GUCAACUCGUGAGUUUUCGGUGAGUCGAGUUUAAGCUUAAAAAAUAGACUCGAUUAUUAAUGAGUCGAACCGUGAGUCAAGCUCAAUUUUAGUAUCAGAUGAGCUUGAGCUUAGUCUAGCUCUACUCAGUUCGGCUCACUUCCAACCUAGUUAGAGGCGUAGGUUUCUGAACUCGUCGACGUUGGUUCAGCCAUAGACGCAGAUCAGCGUCGAGAAGGAAAAAAAAAACAAGAAGAUCAAGAGAAGGUGGAGGAAGAUCCAAAUCUCCAGUUCGUCGACUAAGCCACUCUUCCAAGCUAGCAGCAGAAGAUAAGGAUAAACAUAGUGAAAGAAAAAUUUUUUAUUGGGCUAAGAACUGUGUAAUAGAAAAAUGAAUGAGGUUUAUUUGCACUUUUAUUUUCUUCAAUUAUUCUUGAAUUGUUGAUUAUUGUAAAUUUCAGCUGUGAACUAACAUUUUUAGUGUUUUCAUUGAGGUGAUCUGCCAUGAAUUCAGGAACUCGCAUUUCCCACUUGGAGGAGGUGUGCCAACAAAAUCAAUAUGAGAUUGCAGCACUGCAACAUAGUCAGAUCGAGAUAAUGGCUCAUCUUGCUGGUACCCAAGAGCAGAUCGGCUCCGUCGAAAUCUCUCUGAAAAACAUAGAAAAUGUUGCGUGAUUUGUUGAAGCAAAAACCGAUCACGUUCGAGCAUAGAAACCCCCACAAUGAUUCCAAGUUUUCGGGUGACUCACAGACGGCUCGUUGGCCAAAGGGGAUGAAAAGCGAGCUACCCAUGUUUGACGGUGAGGGGUUGAAGAGUGGACAUUUCGAGCUCGCGAGUAUUUGGAGCUUUACUCGGUUUUGGUGGCAUGGAGAUUACACAUGCUUUCUUUUCACAUGAUGGAUGCAGCCUACACUUAGUACCGUUAGUGCAUCAACAACUCCAUCAACUACACCUAGGAGAGUUUCCUUGAGGCUCUCUGUGUUUCUUUCGGCCACAAUAUUUUCCACGAUUCAAAGGCAUCCUUGAAGGAACGUAAACAAGUCUCCACGGUUGCAGUCUAUCAACAUCAGUUCGAAGAGUUUUCUAAUCAGGUGACCGGACUGAACGAAUAAUGGAUUGUUUUGUUGUUUGUGGCGGGAUUAAUAGACGCAAUGAAAUGUGAGCUUAUGCUAGCCAAACCACAGUCGUAUGUUGAAACGGUAGCCCUUUGCCAAGCUCCAUGAGCAAAAGAAUCACGGCAGCGCAUUGAAUCUAAGACCACAUAGGAGACAGUGGAGGGGGGCUGGGGGGACACACCACCUCAAUUCAGCUCCACGAGGGGUGCACUUUCUCGUACAUCUAGCUUCUCUUCAAACGCCACAAAAGGGGCCUCGGUCGCAGAACGUUUAUUCCAACCCGAUGCAGUUGGGAAUCGGAUGCUAAAUAAGAUGGUUUCAGCUGAUGUUAUUGCUUCAUUAUUCCUACACUUAAGGGUGAUUGAUUCUGCACUUACAUCAGAGGAAACACAAUAGGAUGAAGAUGCGCAAUUAUUGUUAACUGAAUAUCAUGAUGUGUUCAAGGAGCCAGAAAACUUACAUCCACCCAGAGACAUUGAGCACUAGAUUCAUUUACAAUCGGGGACUAAACCAGUCAAUGUGCGUCCCUAUCGAUACCUUCACUACCAAAAAGAAGAGAUUGAGAAGUUAGUGGAGAAAAUGCUGUAAUCAAGGCUAAUCCGUGAGAGUCAUAGUGCGUUUUCCAAUCCCGUCCUAUUAGUGCGCAAGAAGGAUGGAAGCUACUAUUUUUUCAUCCACUACCGCGCCCUCAACACUACCACCAUCAAAGAUAAGUUUUUCGUACCCACAAUUAAUGAGAUAUUAGAUGAAUUAUAUGGUGCUGCCUAUUUUUCAAAAAUUGACUUAUGUUCGGAUUAUCAUUAGAUUUGGGUCAGGGAUGAAGAUAUUCCCAAGACAGCAUUUUGCACUCAUUUGGGUCACUACGAAUUUGUAGUGAUGCCUUUCAGCCUCACCAAUGCCCCGUCCACCUUCCAAGCCACCAUAAAUAAAGUGUUUCGACCACAUCUUAAAAAAUUUGUUGCUACUUCUUCGACGAUAUCCUCAUUUACAGUAAGUCCAAAGAGGAGCACAUGGUGCAUUUAAGAACAGCCUUGGCCGUGUUACAGCAGCAUUAGUUUGUUGCGAAGCUUUCUAAAUGCACUUUUUGGCAAACCUAAGAGGAGUACCUUGGUCAUGUGGUUAGAAGGAACAGAGUUCAUGUUGAUAAUUCUAAAAUAUAAGCCAUUGUUGAAUGGCCUAAGCUUACUAGUCUGAAAUAGCUGCAAGGUUUUCUUGGCCUCAUGGGAUGGGCAAUUUGUGGACCAAUAUGCGCAGUUGGCUGCCCCCUUCACCGAGUUACUUAAGCGUAAUUUCCACUAGGAUCAGGUUGCUAAGAUUGCCUUUGAGAAGCUCAAAACUGCCCUUACUCAUACAUCGGUAUUGGCACUGCUAGACUUUACUCUUCCAUUUAUUGUUGAAACUGAUUCAUUGGCACAAGGGAUUGGUGCGGUUUUGUCGCAGCAAGGUCAUCCCAUAGCAUAUUUUAAUAAGAAGCUAAAAUAGUAGACUAAUGGUAGCAUUAGCAUAUGUACGAGAGCUUUAUACCAUCAUCCAAAACGUGGCGAAAUGACGACAUUAUUUGUUGGGGUGCCGUUUUUAUAUCAAGGUGGAUUCGUAGGUGGUGUUGGGAGGGAAUGAAGGUUUUGUUGGUUGAGCAACUGUGAUUGAGGUACUCAAGUUGGUUAUUGUCAUUUGCUUCGCCUAUAAAAAAUUUGAAUAAGAAGAAAAGGCAAAUUUGGAGUAAUAUCGGUUUGAGGAAAAAGACGUAGAAAUAGAUUGAUCGUUGGUGUUUGGAUAUGGAUAUGAUUCAUAUGAUUAUGAAUAUGCAAAAGAAUGAUGCAUUGAUUGGUUAGUAUAGAAUAUUAGAGGCAAAUAAUCAACAAGUUUAGUCAGUGGUCUUGGCAAAAGUAGUUUUGACGACUUGUUACAUACGAUCGUGUUUUUGGAAAAGAAAAAAAUAAAGCCUGGCAAUAAGAAGAUUCAAAUGAGAUUAUAGAAAUUUGAAUGAUCAAAUUAACUAUAUAUGUACUAUGUGACAGGUAUAUGUCCAUGGAAAAUGAAACACAUCCAUUCACGAAAGUUUCGCACCUUUGGUAGUAGCUAGCUACAAGAUUGAUGAGAUAAA